GUACUAGUUAUGUUCUUGAAACUUAAAAAAUUUGGCGGUAUUUUAUUCUUUCCAGAGGAACCUGUUCUUUAAUUGAUAAUCCACGAUUUUAUUUACUUAUAUUUGUAAGCAAUUUUUAUAUCUCCGUCAUAAGAAUAUUUUGUUAGAAUAAAUUUUCUUGGUUAUUUAAGGUUAAAAUGUCAGGUCAAGGUGAAAUUUAUGUAUAAGUAGAAAUGGGUUACAAUAAUAUUAUUUAUAUGGAUAGUAUGUGUUAUAUUAUAUUUGAAGGUGGAUUUGGGAGUAAAAAAAUUUUUAUUAAUUUUUUGAUUUUAGCUCUAAAAUAUGUACACAUCGCC
Molecule: ribosomal RNA, 335 nt
Filed under: Megaloprepus caerulatus
Lineage: Eukaryota; Metazoa; Arthropoda; Insecta; Odonata; Coenagrionidae
Description: partial 12S ribosomal RNA
Source: RNAcentral